Molecule: long non-coding RNA, 432 nt
Filed under: Callithrix jacchus (white-tufted-ear marmoset)
Lineage: Eukaryota; Metazoa; Chordata; Mammalia; Primates; Cebidae
Description: lncRNA (ENSCJAG00000071695.1)
Source: RNAcentral
CAACUAAAAUAACAGAACUGACACUAAAUAUGCCUGCCAUAUUAAUAAAUAUAAAUGGGAAAACUUACUUUUAAAAAGAAGCUGUUCAAGUCCAGGCAUGGUGGCUCACUCAUGUAGUCCCAGAACUUUGGGAGGCCAAGGCAGGAGGAUCACUUGAGCCUAAGAGUUCCAGACCAACCUGGGCAAUAUGGUGAAACCCUGUUGCUACAAGAAAUGCAAAAAUUAGCCAGGCAUCUGGUGGUAUGCAUCUGUGGUCCCAGCUACUUGGGAAGAUGAGGUGAAAAGGUUGCUUGCACCUGGGAGGCUGAGGCAGGAGAAUCACUUGAACCCGGGAGGCAGAGGUUGCAGUAAGCUGAGAUUGUGCCACUGCACUCCAGCCUGUGCAACAGAGUGAGACUCCAUCUCACAAUAAUAACAGUCACAACCUGUAUA